GACGAACGCUGGCGGCGUGCCUAAUACAUGCAAGUAGAACGCUGAAGAGAGGAGCUUGCUCUUCUUGGAUGAGUUGCGAACGGGUGAGUAACGCGUAGGUAACCUGCCUUGUAGCGGGGGAUAACUAUUGGAAACGAUAGCUAAUACCGCAUAACAAUGGGUGACACAUGUCAUUUAUUUGAAAGGGGCAAUUGCUCCACUACAAGAUGGACCUGCGUUGUAUUAGCUAGUAGGUGAGGUAACGGCUCACCUAGGCGACGAUACAUAGCCGACCUGAGAGGGUGAUCGGCCACACUGGGACUGAGACACGGCCCAGACUCCUACGGGAGGCAGCAGUAGGGAAUCUUCGGCAGUGGGGGCAACCCUGACGGAGCAACGCCGCGUGAGUGAAGAAGGUUUUCGGAUCGUAAAGCUCUGUUGUAAGUCAAGAACGAGUGUGAGAGUGGAAAGUUCACACUGUGACGGUAGCUUACCAGAAAGGGACGGCUAACUACGUGCCAGCAGCCGCGGUAAUACGUAGGUCCCGAGCGUUGUCCGGAUUUAUUGGGCGUAAAGCGAGCGCAGGCGGUUUGAUAAGUCUGAAGUUAAAGGCUGUGGCUCAACCAUAGUUCGCUUUGGAAACUGUCAAACUUGAGUGCAGAAGGGGAGAGUGGAAUUCCAUGUGUAGCGGUGAAAUGCGUAGAUAUAUGGAGGAACACCGGUGGCGAAAGCGGCUCUCUGGUCUGUAACUGACGCUGAGGCUCGAAAGCGUGGGGAGCGAACAGGAUUAGAUACCCUGGUAGUCCACGCCGUAAACGAUGAG
RNAcentral lists this ribosomal RNA (802 nucleotides) under uncultured organism. Its description in RNAcentral is "SSU rRNA". It matches the Rfam family "Bacterial small subunit ribosomal RNA", at positions 28 to 813 of the family's 1533-position model. The record is from RNAcentral.